GACGAACGCUGGCGGCGUGCCUAAUACAUGCAAGUAGAACGCUGAAGGAGGAGCUUGCUUCUCUGGAUGAGUUGCGAACGGGUGAGUAACGCGUAGGUAACCUGCCUGGUAGCGGGGGAUAACUAUUGGAAACGAUAGCUAAUACCGCAUAAUAGUAGAUGUUGCAUGACAUUUGCUUAAAAGGUGCAAUUGCAUCACUACCAGAUGGACCUGCGUUGUAUUAGCUAGUUGGUGGGGUAACGGCUCACCAAGGCGACGAUACAUAGCCGACCUGAGAGGGUGAUCGGCCACACCGGGACUGAGACACGGCCCAGACUCCUACGGGAGGCAGCAGUAGGGAAUCUUCGGCAAUGGACGGAAGUCUGACCGAGCAACGCCGCGUGAGUGAAGAAGGGUUUCGGAUCGUAAAGCUCUGUUGUAAGAGAAGAACGAGUGUGAGAGUGGAAAGUUCACACUGUGACGGUAUCUUACCAGAAAGGGACGGCUAACUACGUG
Molecule: ribosomal RNA, 495 nt
Filed under: uncultured bacterium
Lineage: Bacteria
Description: partial 16S ribosomal RNA
Rfam family: Bacterial small subunit ribosomal RNA
Source: RNAcentral